CCACCUCAAUACAGUCUGAUAACAGAUGAGCCUUUAUUAGUCAAAUCAGGCAAGCAGUUUUUCAGGCUCUUAGUAUUCAGUGAAACCUUUAUAUCCCUUACGGUCCUCCAUCUUCAAGAAAAGUAGAAUGGACUAAAGGUCUUUUAAAUACACACCUCACCAAGUUCACCAACUUAAAAAGGACUGGACAAUACUUUUACUACAUUUCCUUCUCAGAAUUCAGGCCUGUCCUCGGAAUGCUACAGGAUCCCAUUUGUCAAUUUUGGCUUUUGUUGCAGUUGCUUUAAUAGAUGCUGGUGAGGGUG
This 305-nucleotide long non-coding RNA is filed under the name Homo sapiens (human). Its description in RNAcentral is "non-protein coding lnc-LRFN5-4:1". Lineage: Eukaryota; Metazoa; Chordata; Mammalia; Primates; Hominidae. The record is from RNAcentral.